This 395-nucleotide ribosomal RNA is filed under the name uncultured bacterium. RNAcentral's name for it is "partial 16S ribosomal RNA". It matches the Rfam family "Bacterial small subunit ribosomal RNA", at positions 523 to 918 of the family's 1533-position model. The record is from RNAcentral.
AUACGUAGGGUGCAAGCGUUAAUCGGAAUUACUGGGCGUAAAGCGUGCGCAGGCGGUUUUGUAAGACAGUGGUGAAAUCCCCGGGCUCAAACUGGGAACUGCCAUUGUGACUGCAAGGCUGGAGUGCGGCAGAGGGGGAAGGAAGUCCGCGGGGAGCAGCGGAAUGCGUAGAUAUGCGGAGGAACACCGAUGGCGAAGGCAAUCCCCUGGGCCUGUACUGACGCUCAUGCACGAAAGCGUGGGGAGCAAACAGGAUUAGAUACCCUGGUAGUCCACGCCCUAAACGAUGUCAACUGGUUGUUGGGUCUUCAUUGACUCAGUAACGAAGCUAACGCGUGAAGUUGACCGCCUGGGGAGUACGGCCGCAAGGUUGAAACUCAAAUGAAUUGACGGGG